Molecule: signal recognition particle RNA, 94 nt
Filed under: Persicirhabdus sediminis
Lineage: Bacteria; Pseudomonadati; Verrucomicrobiota; Verrucomicrobiia; Verrucomicrobiales; Verrucomicrobiaceae
Description: Bacterial small signal recognition particle RNA
Rfam family: Bacterial small signal recognition particle RNA
About the family: The signal recognition particle (SRP) is a universally conserved ribonucleoprotein involved in the co-translational targeting of proteins to membranes. Archaeal SRP consists of a 7S RNA and homologues of the eukaryotic SRP19 and SRP54 proteins.
Source: Rfam by way of RNAcentral
CGUCAGAGCUGUGGAGUUCUCGGCAAGCGAACCCCGCCAGGUCCGAAAGGAAGCAACGGUAGUUUGUCCGUGAUUGCCGCAGUCUCUGGCACUU